This 253-nucleotide ribosomal RNA is filed under the name uncultured bacterium. Its description in RNAcentral is "partial 16S ribosomal RNA". It matches the Rfam family "Bacterial small subunit ribosomal RNA", at positions 524 to 776 of the family's 1533-position model. The record is from RNAcentral.
UACGUAGGGUGCGAGCGUUAAUCGGAAUUACUGGGCGUAAAGCGUGCGCAGGCGGUUUUGUAAGCCAGAUGUGAAAUCCCCGGGCUUAACCUGGGAAUGGCAUUUGGGACUGCAAGGCUCGAGUUUGGCAGAGGAGACUGGAAUUCCUGGUGUAGCAGUGAAAUGCGUAGAUAUCAGGAGGAAUACCGAUGGCGAAGGCAGGUCUCUGGGCUGAAACUGACGCUCAUGCACGAAAGCGUGGGGAGCAAACAGG